CGAGGGUGCGAGCGUUAAUCGGAAUUACUGGGCGUAAAGCGAGUGUAGGCGGCUACUUAAGUCGGAUGUGAAAUCCCCGGGCUCAACCUGGGAAUUGCAUUCGAUACUGGGUAGCUAGAGUUUGGUAGAGGUAAGUGGAAUUCCGGGUGUAGCGGUGAAAUGCGUAGAUAUCCGGAGGAACAUCAGUGGCGAAGGCGGCUUACUGGACCAAAACUGACGCUGAGGCUCGAAAGCGUGGGGAGCAAACAGGAUUAGAUACCCGAGUAGUCC
This 270-nucleotide ribosomal RNA is filed under the name uncultured archaeon. RNAcentral's name for it is "partial 16S ribosomal RNA". It matches the Rfam family "Bacterial small subunit ribosomal RNA", at positions 527 to 796 of the family's 1533-position model. The record is from RNAcentral.